ACUCACUCAACUGAGGAGCAUCAUGGAUGACGAUGAUGCCUUAUUUCUUGCUGAUUUGCUGUUGGAGGAAUCGAAGAAUACUCAACCUCAAGAAUCCUCAGAAGUGUCUGGACCGGACAAAUUUUCAUUUGUUUGGGUUGAGGAGGACGAGGAAGGGAAUCCUAUCCCAAAGAGGAGGAGAACAGGGAAGAAGCGGGCAAAGAGUUCAUCCUCAGGUGAGAGACAAUGGUCAAUUGUCAAUUGGGUCAAUGAGUCCUCACAUAUUGCACCCACCCAGUGAAUACAUCCUACUGCGUGGAUCCUCUACUACACUUGG
This is a long non-coding RNA of Synchiropus splendidus (mandarinfish), 316 nucleotides long. RefSeq lists it as uncharacterized. The record is from RefSeq and is a predicted model, not a curated record. The transcript is spliced from 3 exons. Lineage: Eukaryota; Metazoa; Chordata; Actinopteri; Syngnathiformes; Callionymidae.